This 286-nucleotide long non-coding RNA is filed under the name Centruroides sculpturatus (bark scorpion). RNAcentral's name for it is "uncharacterized LOC111623569, transcript variant X2". The record is from RNAcentral. Lineage: Eukaryota; Metazoa; Arthropoda; Arachnida; Scorpiones; Buthidae.
GUAAACAUUAAAAAGUUUUAUUUUUUUAUCAUGCCUGUAAUGGGUUCGGCCACGCGAUUGAUUGGAUGAUAUAAACAAUAAAUCAGAUAUGAACCAAUCAGAAAAGACUGACGUCACAAGUCGAGAAACAAAACGGAACAUUUAAAGUGGAGUUAGACGUGAACCCAGUUUAAGAACGUCGAGAAAUAUCGUACGUAAUGCCCAAAAAAGACGGGAAAAAAUUAUUAAAAGAUUACAUAAUCCCGAAUUUAGACAAUAAGCGAUUUAACGAUAAAAUGAUUUUGUU